This 469-nucleotide ribosomal RNA is filed under the name uncultured bacterium. RNAcentral describes it as "partial 16S ribosomal RNA". It matches the Rfam family "Bacterial small subunit ribosomal RNA", at positions 28 to 507 of the family's 1533-position model. The record is from RNAcentral.
GACGAACGCUGGCGGCGUGCUUAACACAUGCAAGUCGAACGGAAAGGCCCUGCUUUUGUGGGGUGCUCGAGUGGCGAACGGGUGAGUAACACGUGAGUAACCUGCCCUUGACUUUGGGAUAAACUUCAGGAAACUGGGGCUAAUACCGGAUAGGAGCUCCUGCUGCAUGGUGGGGGUUGGAAAGUUUCGGCGGUUGGGGAUGGACUCGCGGCUUAUCAGCUUGUUGGUGGGGUAGUGGCUUACCAAGGCUUUGACGGGUAGCCGGCCUGAGAGGGUGACCGGCCACAUUGGGACUGAGAUACGGCCCAGACUCCUACGGGAGGCAGCAGUGGGGAAUAUUGCACAAUGGGCGGAAGCCUGAUGCAGCAACGCCGCGUGCGGGAUGACGGCCUUCGGGUUGUAAACCGCUUUCGCCUGUGACGAAGCGUGAGUGACGGUAAUGGGUAAAGAAGCACCGGCUAACUACGUG